Long non-coding RNA from Mya arenaria, 1825 nucleotides. RefSeq lists it as uncharacterized. The transcript is spliced from 4 exons. The record is from RefSeq and is a predicted model, not a curated record. NCBI's taxonomy places the organism in Eukaryota, Metazoa, Mollusca, Bivalvia, Myida, Myidae.
CUAAGAUCAGGAAGCGAUUGAGAAAAAAAACCCAGAAAUUUGUCAGUGAAAAAGUUUUAAGCUUAUCUGAUUCUUUUAAGACAGCAAAAGAUGUUGACAUAUCUCGGGAAGGAGUCAUUAAGAGUCGUCCACGCGGCACAAAAAAUGGGUAUGACAAUUCCCAAAGGAGCUGGUCAUGGACCUUUGCCGUCCUUCAUCCAGAGCCUUCCACAGCGAUGGCAGAUAUAUUGCUGCUUGGAUCAACACUUGACCAUGCCGUUGAGUCCAGGAUCUCAGUAGCAGCCAUAACAACAUCAACAGAAUGACAUCUGCCUAUGGAUGCAUACAUUUUGCACCUCUUCCUUGUGCUGUCAGUUUGAAACGUCUCUACUCUGACAGAAGGAAGUGAAUGAAUCCCCAGGAUUGUUCCUCCGGAAAAUCUCUUCAACCGGCUGUUGACAGUUUGCAUACUCUUUGGAUGGAAUUACCUUAGCUUGGCUUGCAGAGAAUCUGUUAUGUAAAAAAACUGGGCUGCUUUGUGUUAUUGAUUUAUUGACCUUAAAUGUAUUUUAUAUGUAUUUUGCCACUAUUGUAAAAAACAAUGGGCAUACGCACUAGUAUAUGUUUGCAAACAGACACAUUUUAUUUUAGUAAAUAACUUGAAAAUACAUUUUGUAGGUUGAGCUCAGACCAUGAAAGAUUAAUGGUAGGUUAUCUUUGACCAGAACAUGACCAGUAUUGUUUUUGAAGUUUGUUGGUCAAAGGUGAUGGUCAUGGCAAACAGUGGUUAUUCUGCACAAUGACCCUUUAAUUCUUUGACCUUAUACCAUUGAUAUCUAGUGAUUGAUAUAUCAGUCCAACACAUAUGUAACAGGGUCCUGCUGAAAUUCAGCAAGAACUUAUUAGCAUUGCAAAUCAUUAUUUGUGCAUGUAACUGUAAAUACUAUUACGCUUUGUGUCAGAAACUUGACCAUCACGAAUUAGGGUCAUUGUUGACCUUAUCUUGUUUCAUUAUUUUGCAUGUUUUGUCUCAAAAGCAUCGUUCAUUUAAGAUUAAACAAUAGAACAGAUCUCAAUUGUGUGAAAAACUGCUGAAAAUUUUAAUUUUCUUAAAGCGUCUAUAAGUAACUUUUGUAGUCAUAAAACAUCGAUUAUCAAUUGAAGGGGGUGAAAGCAAAAAGGUUCUAUCUGCUUCUUUAUCUAAUGUCACUUAGAACAUUUUUGCAUUCACUCAUCUUAUUGGAAAAACUAUCUGAUCUUUUGACAGCAGUCAUAUAUAUCACUGUUUUCUAGACAUCUACCAAAUAUACCUCAUUUCAAGACAAUAAAGAUGUCAAAUCAGUCGAUCCGGCUGUGAGAGAGCAGCUUUAAACAAAGACUAUUUGAGAUAUUUUAUGUUUCAGAGCCAAUGUUUUUGUAUAAUGAUAUAAAGAGUUUUGCAUUUAUAUGUUUUUAAAUCUGUGUAAUUUAUUCAACUUCCUUAUUAUGUCAAUAUUGUAAAAAAGGUUAUAAAAUAGGCUAAAUAUGCACCAUGCACAUGAAUUGUUUAAAAUCACCCUGAGCCUCACUGCAAACAUUUAAAACUGUAUAAUUUUCAUAUCUGAGGGAGAGGAUGUGUCAAAAGGCUGUGCCCUUAUUCACCCCCUCUUAUAUCAAUUCCUGCUUGUAUUUAAUACCAGGAAAUCACUGAUAAUGCUUUUAAUAGUAAAACAUUCUUUAUGGUCAAAAGUCAAUAUUACAGUCAUUGCUUUUUAACCAAAUUAUUUUAAUAAAUUUAUGUAUGUAAGAUCUUUGCAUUUACUGACAGAUAAUUGUCUAAAUUAGUUAAGAGAACAAUAAAAGGUUA